CCUGGCUCAGAUUGAACGCUGGCGGCAGGCUUAACACAUGCAAGUCGAACGGUAGCAGGAGAAAGCUUGCUUUCUUGCUGACGAGUGGCGGACGGGUGAGUAAUGCUUGGGAAUCUGGCUUAUGGAGGGGGAUAACUACGGGAAACUGUAGCUAAUACCGCGUAGUGUCGAGAGACGAAAGUGCGGGACCGCAAGGCCGCAUGCCAUGAGAUGAGCCCAAGUGGGAUUAGGUAGUUGGUGAGGUAAUGGCUCACCAAGCCUGCGAUCUCUAGCUGGUCUGAGAGGAUGGCCAGCCACACUGGAACUGAGACACGGUCCAGACUCCUACGG
This 330-nucleotide ribosomal RNA is filed under the name uncultured bacterium. RNAcentral's name for it is "bacterial SSU rRNA". It matches the Rfam family "Bacterial small subunit ribosomal RNA", at positions 18 to 344 of the family's 1533-position model. The record is from RNAcentral.